Molecule: long non-coding RNA, 738 nt
Filed under: Salmo salar (Atlantic salmon)
Lineage: Eukaryota; Metazoa; Chordata; Actinopteri; Salmoniformes; Salmonidae
Description: lncRNA (ENSSSAG00000110804.1)
Source: RNAcentral
CUGUGUGUUUGUGUGUGUGUGUAUCCAGUGUGUGUGUGUGUGUGUGUAUCCAGUGUGUGUGUGUGUGUGUGUGUGUGUGUGUGUGUAUCCAGUGUGUUUGUGUGUGUGUAUCCAGUGUGUGUGUCAAGCGUGUGUGUGUGUCAAGCGUGUGUGUCCAGUGUGUGUGUGUGUGUCCAGUGAGUGUGUGUGUGUCCAGUGAGUGUGUGUGUUGUGUGUGUGUGUGUGUGUGUGUCCAGUGUGUUUGUGUGUGUCCAGUGUGUGUGUGUGUCCAGUGUGUUUCCAGUGCGUUUGUAUGUCCGUUUGAGUGAGUGUGUGUAUGUCAUUCCAGUGUUUGUGUUUGUCCAGUUUGAGUGGGUGGCCAGUGUGUGUGUGUUUCAGUGUGUGUGUGUGUGUGUGUCCAGUGAGUGUGUGUGUGUGUGUGUGUGUCCAGUGAGUGUGUGUGUGUAUGUGUGUCCAGUGAGUGUGUGUGUGUAUGUGUUGUGUGUGUGUGUGUGUGUGUUUCAGUGUGUGUGUGUGUGUGUGUGUGUGUGUGUGUGUGUUCAGUGUGUGUGUGUGUGUGUGUGUGUCCAGUGUGUAUGUGUGUGUGUGUGUCCAGUGUGUGUGUGUUGAGUGUGUGUGUCCAGUGUGUAUUUAUGUGUGUGUCCAGUGUGUGUGUGUCCAGUGUGUGUGUGUCCAGUGUGUGUCCAGUGUGUGUGUGUGUGUGUGUGUGUGUGUGUGUGUGUGUGUGUGUGUGUGUGU